RNAcentral lists this ribosomal RNA (470 nucleotides) under uncultured bacterium. RNAcentral describes it as "partial 16S ribosomal RNA". It matches the Rfam family "Bacterial small subunit ribosomal RNA", at positions 28 to 508 of the family's 1533-position model. The record is from RNAcentral.
GACGAACGCUGGCGGCGUGCUUAACACAUGCAAGUCGAACGGAAAGGCCCUGCUUGCAGGGUGCUCGAGUGGCGAACGGGUGAGUAACACGUGGGUGAUCUGCCCCUUACUUUGGGAUAAGCCUGGGAAACUGGGUCUAAUACUGGAUAGGACCAUGCUGUAGGUGGUGUGGUGGAAAGAUUAGUUUCGGUAAGGGAUGAGCUCGCGGCCUAUCAGCUUGUUGGUGGGGUAAUGGCCUACCAAGGCGUCGACGGGUAGCCGGCCUGAGAGGGUGGACGGCCACAUUGGGACUGAGAUACGGCCCAGACUCCUACGGGAGGCAGCAGUGGGGAAUAUUGCACAAUGGGCGCAAGCCUGAUGCAGCGACGCCGCGUGGGGGAUGACGGCCUUCGGGUUGUAAACUCCUUUCAGCCAUGACGAAGCCCUUGUGGUGACGGUAGGGGUAGAAGAAGCACCGGCUAACUACGUGC